GAUGAACGCUGGCGGCGUGCCUAAUACAUGCAAGUCGAGCGAACAGACGAGGAGCUUGCUCCUCUGACGUUAGCGGCGGACGGGUGAGUAACACGUGGAUAACCUACCUAUAAGACUGGGAUAACUUCGGGAAACCGGAGCUAAUACCGGAUAAUAUAUUGAACCGCAUGGUUCAAUAGUGAAAGACGGUUUUGCUGUCACUUAUAGAUGGAUCCGCGCCGCAUUAGCUAGUUGGUAAGGUAACGGCUUACCAAGGCAACGAUGCGUAGCCGACCUGAGAAGGUGAGCGGCCACACUGGAACUGAGACACGGUCCAGACUCCUACGGGAGGCAGCAGUAGGGAAUCUUCCGCAAUGGGCGAAAGCCUGACGGAGCAACGCCGCGUGAGUGAUGAAGGUCUUCGGAUCGUAAAACUCUGUUAUUAGGGAAGAACAAAUGUGUAAGUAACUAUGCACGUCUUGACGGUACCUAAUCAGAGAGCCACGGCUAACUACGUG
RNAcentral lists this ribosomal RNA (497 nucleotides) under uncultured bacterium. Its description in RNAcentral is "partial 16S ribosomal RNA". It matches the Rfam family "Bacterial small subunit ribosomal RNA", at positions 28 to 507 of the family's 1533-position model. The record is from RNAcentral.